This 468-nucleotide ribosomal RNA is filed under the name uncultured bacterium. Its description in RNAcentral is "partial 16S ribosomal RNA". It matches the Rfam family "Bacterial small subunit ribosomal RNA", at positions 28 to 507 of the family's 1533-position model. The record is from RNAcentral.
GACGAACGCUGGCGGCGUGCUUAACACAUGCAAGUCGAACGGAAAGGCCGUGCUUGUGUGGGGUGCUCGGGUGGCGAACGGGUGAGUAAGAGGUGAGUAACCUGCCCUUGACUUUGGGAGAACUUCAGGAAACUGGGGCUAAUCACGGAUAGGAGCCCCUGCUGCAUGGUGGGGGGUGGAAAGUUUCGGCGGUCGGGGUUGGAGUCGCGGCUUAUCAACUUGUUGGUGGGGUAGUGGAUGACCAAGGCUUUGACGGGUAGCCGGCCUGAGUGGGUGACCAGGCACAUUGCACCUGCGAUACGGCCCAGACUCGUACGUGGGGCAACGGUGGGCAAUGUUGCACAGUCGUCGGACGUCUGUUGCGGCAACCCCGGGUGUGGUAUGACGGUCUGCUGGUCGAGAACCGCUUUCGCUUCAUACGAAGCUGGAGUGACGGUAAUGAGUAAAGAAGCACCGGCUAACUUCGUG